CCCCCCCCCCCCCCCCCCCCCCCCCCCCCCCCCCCCCCCCCCCCCCCCCCCCCCCCCCCCCCCCCCCCCCCCGGCCGCCCGCGAUGUUCGGGGCGGGCAGGUACAGCAUCCCGCGGCCCGUCACCAGAAACCUGGAGGACCUGGACUCGGUGCAGAGCGUCCUGCUGCACAGCUCAAGGUGUCAGACGGAACAGCCGUGUGAAAUCCAUUCCUGUGAGCGCUGGGGAUGCAAGCACAGAGCAAAGCAAGGAGAGCACGCUGCAAUCAGCCUGCUCCGGCACAGCACUCUCUGAGGCUGCUUCAUGCACAAGAAAUGUGCUCCUAUGCAAACAGAACCCCACGGACUUCUCAGUGACUUAACAGAAAAUGUUCUGUUUCAGAGCCCGAUUAAAAACAUGCUGCCCCAUCGUACUGCUUACGUUAAUAUACUCUAACUGGAAAAAGGAUACUCAUGCUUGAAACCUUUGCGUGUUGACUGACUACAAAUACUGGUUUUCCUUCAUGCCUGACAUGCCUGCUAUGCAUAGCAGGUGGUCCUAAAAAUAACCAUUUAAAACACUUAAAGCAGUAGGAAAAAAAAUGAAAAUUACAAUUGCUUUUCGUUCUGGAGAGAAUUUUUAACUCUGUAAGUGUUUUUCAGAAGAAUGAGAUGGGUUGUACUACUCUUUCCAGAUUCUUCACAGCUGUCUUCCUGUCGGUUUUGUGUCCUCCUGAAAUACCUUCUGAGAUCAGAGUUGACAGAGAAAGCUUAAGAAGUCAGAAUACUCUUUCUAUUUCAUUUACUAAGCACUAGAGUGUUUUCUCACAAAAUUUCUGUUCCUUUGGUCCCAGAGGUAGCCUUCAUUCUCCGUGGAUUCUCUGUUUAUAUGUAAAUAUCCCAAUGAAAAUGACAGCCCAGUGUCACUCUUCAGUUCAGGCCACUUUGCUGUGGAUGGUCUCUAGACAGUCUUGUCAGAGGAGUUGUGAACAGAAGAUUCUGUAAUCAGUGUCUUACACAGUUUAAUGGAAACCUUGUAAUCAAAAAAAUCUUAAUUAUUAAGGAAUCCAUGUGAAAUAUGUAUUUUGCCCUUGAAGAAAGACUUGGGCAGGGGAGGGGAAAGUUGUGUUGCUGUCAUUAAUAUUUUAAAAAGAGCGAAUUAUUUCUGACGUAUUUUGCUCAUGCUGUGCACUGGAGGAAUAAAAAAACCCAGGAAUCAAUAGCUGAAAUAUAACGUCACUAAUGUUUUUUGUUAGCUUUUCUUUCAUUAAAGCAAGAAACACAACUGAAAAACAAAAGAUGAAACUAUUUUCCUCUUAAUCUGCUUGCAAUGUAUCAUGUUUUAUCUGAAAUGUAUCAUUUGUGCCUGUCCAGUUGAUGUAUCGUUUGUGUCUGUCCAGUUAUUGGUAGAGCCUCCCUGGAAAUAUUAAGUGAUCUGAAAAGAAGCAGCAAGCCAAAAAAAAUCCAUUAUCAAGUCACUUAGGGCCUUCUUACCUCAUUAUCACUAAUGAAGAGCUGCAGUUUGCAGCAUGGAACCAGUGUGUCCUAUGCCCUGUCUUCUUUUAACUUCAGUCUCCUUCUGAACACAGGGAAGGGUCAAGGCAGGUUAUUUUUAAAGCACAACAGUUUCUAAAACAGGUUAAGCCAAAAAAAGAAAAAAAAAAAAAGUAACAAGAAACUCUUGUUCAGGAAAUAAAUUUCCACGCAUGGAUUUAGUUCUUUGCAGGAACAGCUAAUCAGAAGAGACUUCAAACUUUAAUUAGCCACUCCUAAGUGCUCAUUACCCAGCUGUCCAGUGAGGGUGAACAAUGCUUCUGAUACCAGUGAUGCCCCCUGGCAGAUUUUUACCAUCUGCAUGUUAUAAACAGCAACUUGGCAUAGAAGGCUCAUGGAUUCCUUAUCCCCCUGGCAGAUUUUUACCAUCUGCAUGUUAAAAACAGCAACUUGGCGUAGAAGGCUCAUGGAUUCCUUAGUGAGGAGCAUCAGCCCCAGCUACUCAGAUUAAGUGUAAAGUGUCUGCCAGAAGACAAAUUAUUUCAAGUCUCGUCCUAAUAUUUAUGCCCAAGAAACGAGAGGCUUUCCUCUCAAGGGGGAUUGUGUGGGAAAAUCUGUGUCUUCACUAAAAUAAGAUCCUGCUGUGUGAGAUAUAUCCUGCAAUCUUUAAUUGUUCCCACAGCAGCAAAAAUUCCACAUUUGUUUCAGCAAAGUCUUUAGGUGGCUCCCAGCUACUCCUCUCAGAGGACCAAAGCCUUCCAUCAUCCUUCCAUUCAUAAUAUGCUUAUUCCUAUAAAAUAGCAUGGUGUAAGACCACUGCCUCCUUGAGAGAGAGCCUGCGUUUCUCACUUAGUGAACAAACAACUGGAACCAAUUAAUCAACUCUUGAACUCAGUGAAAUUUAACUAACACAGCACCAUCUGGCACUGACUAUCACUUCUCUACAGAAACACUUCAGUGUGCUGCUCAGUGUAUUAAAAGUGCUUGCAAGUGUAAGCAUAAUUAGGGAGAAUGGGACCGUGUAUCUCAUCUACUUCUAAAUGAAAGCAUAGAAGAACUUUUUUCUUUAGGAAAUGUUUCUGUCUCGCUCUCUGGGUAGGUGUGUAGUCUUAAUAACCGUGCAAGAGUAAUUUAUCUGUGAAAUCAGGUCUUGUGCAGGCACUUCAGAAUGGCCACAGUACUUAAUAUAGGUAUUUUUACUCCAGUUGAAGCCUUAAUCACAUGGAUAUGAGUCCAAAACAUUUCUGCCUGUUAAUUCACUUGCAAUCACACCUACUAAUAUGUGCUUCCCUAAAGCAGUUUCAAGUACAGGAAUUUCAUACCAGGAUUCUGUCACUCCUCUGUAGUGUUCCAGCACUAUAAAAUCUCUCUGCUGAAGCUGUGCAAAUAUCCCACUGAGCAGAGAUUAAAUCCAGCACAUUAAACUGGAUGUUCCAACAAUUACUCUCCAUCCCUUUCCCUGCUCACCAUGUGUGUCCUGAUGGGUUUACUGACACAGCUACAUAGCAAGUUGUCUGCAGGGCUUCCAUAAGUCUUGUUUUUCAUGGAUGUGAAUAAUUUAAGUCCUGAAAACCGAGUAGGGCUUUUUUUUUUUUUUUUUUGUCUCUCUCUCGACUGUGCAUGAUUUUACACGUGUAGACUGCGUGGGAUAUUUUAAGGUACUUGUUUGGCCUUGUCACAUCCUUGCUUCUCCUGAAGCGCACUGCUCUCCUGACAAACCUAAGGAGAAUCUAAUUUCUCACAGCUCGUUAAAUUAAUAUAAUAACAUACAAAAUAAAGCACAGAGGCAUCUCACUGCUUAUCAAUUGACCCGAGAAUCACUUUUAACCUCAUGUUUCCCCCUCAUGAUCAGUGUUUGGUUACAAUGCUCUGAGCUUCACCUCAGGACUCUCGCGUUUUACUAACGUGUGUCUAUGGGAUGGGCGCUGGGACCUUGGCAACUUGGGAUCAGGCAACUAAAUAGUCUGGUUCUGCAUGAUGCGUUCCUGUUGAGCCAGGGAAAGACGUCUGAGGGGCGGGUCAGGUUAGGCACAUGGGAAUUCCCGUGACAAUGUAGGGUUUACCCUCAGCGCGGAGGGCCGCUCCCUCACGGCCGGGCCCUCGCCCCCCCCCCCCCCCCCCCCCCCCCCCCCCCCCCCCCCCCCCC
Long non-coding RNA from Ficedula albicollis (Collared flycatcher), 3617 nucleotides. NCBI's taxonomy places the organism in Eukaryota, Metazoa, Chordata, Aves, Passeriformes, Muscicapidae. The record is from Ensembl.